CAGCAGCCGCGAGAAUACCGAGGGUGCGAGCGUUAAUCGGAUUUACUGGGCGUAAAGCGUGCGUAGGCGGCUUUUUAAGUCGGAUGUGAAAUCCCUGAGCUUAACUUAGGAAUUGCAUUCGAUACUGGGAAGCUAGAGUAUGGGAGAGGAUGGUAGAAUUCCAGGUGUAGCGGUGAAAUGCGUAGAGAUCUGGAGGAAUACCGAUGGCGAAGGCAGCCAUCUGGCCUAAUACUGACGCUGAGGUACGAAAGCAUGGGGAGCAAACAGGAUUAGAUACCCCGGUAGUCCCUGUCUCUUAUAC
Molecule: ribosomal RNA, 301 nt
Filed under: uncultured bacterium
Lineage: Bacteria
Description: partial 16S ribosomal RNA
Rfam family: Bacterial small subunit ribosomal RNA
Source: RNAcentral